RNAcentral lists this ribosomal RNA (484 nucleotides) under uncultured bacterium. RNAcentral describes it as "partial 16S ribosomal RNA". It matches the Rfam family "Bacterial small subunit ribosomal RNA", at positions 30 to 507 of the family's 1533-position model. The record is from RNAcentral.
AUUGAACGCUGGCGGCAGGCCUAACACAUGCAAGUCGAGCGGAUGAAGGGAGCUUGCUCCUGGAUUCAGCUGCGGACGGGUGAGUAAUGCCUAGGAAUCUGCCUGGUAGUGGGGGAUAACGUCCGGAAACGGGCGCUAAUACCCCAUACGUCCUGAGGGAGAAAGUGGGGGAUCUUCGGACCUCACGCUCUCAGAUGAGCCUAGGUCGGAUUAGCUAGUUGGUGGGGUAAAGGCCUACCAAGGCGACGAUCCGUAACUGGUCUGAGAGGAUGAUCAGUCACACUGGAACUGAGACACGGUCCAGACUCCUACGGGAGGCAGCAGUGGGGAAUAUUGGACAAUGGGCGAAAGCCUGAUCCAGCCAUGCCGCGUGUGUGAAGAAGGUCUUCGGAUUGUAAAGCACUUUAAGUUGGGAAGAAAGGCAGUAAGUUAAUACCUUGCUGUUUUGACGUUACCAACAGAAUAAGCACCGGCUAACUUCGUG